RNAcentral lists this long non-coding RNA (423 nucleotides) under Neodiprion lecontei (redheaded pine sawfly). Its description in RNAcentral is "uncharacterized LOC124294684". Lineage: Eukaryota; Metazoa; Arthropoda; Insecta; Hymenoptera; Diprionidae. The record is from RNAcentral.
UAAAUCCUCCUUUAGUCCCGAACUCAGGCUGACCGUAAAAGACGUAAACGGUACCGGACGCCUCCCACGGAGCACCAACCACCAAAUCUACGGGAGAUGAUCACCGGCGGCCAGGGUGUAACCGAACUGUCCGUAUUCUGCUGUACCCUGGAGCAUCAGACCUUCCCUAAAGACGCCCUGCGAUGCACCGGAUAUCUGGAAAGAACUGCGUAGGACACUAUUGCGUAAGGUCGAUGAUACGGAGAGACACGUGUUUACACAAAAUGGAGCCGAAGACGAAGAAGAUAUCGACGAUGCCGAAGGUGAGAUCGAAAGUCGGUCAAUCGUAUACCUUAUUGUUGCCGUAAUAUGUGUAGACCCGACCGUAGUCGACCUCGCCCCAAUGAGGCGCACCUACGGCAAUGUCAUCCAAACCGUCGUUGU